AAACACUCUCAGCCUCUUGGUUCUCCGGCCAUCGGUCGGUCACCGGCCGGUCAAUCGCCACUGUGCCGACUGCCGAUCUCCGGUGCCGGCACCGCCUUAUCCGGUGGUCGGAAAAAAGGAAAACCCCAAAUCUGGUCUUUUCAACACACUUGAGCCUAGAUCCUGGCUCAAAAUUCCCAAAAUCGACUAAAAAACCUAAAAAUGCCCUAAAAACCUUUCAGAUUCUAGCCGUCUAUCAUCGGAGAUGGUCCUCUUCCUUCCCGCGGCGUUUCAGAAACCAAAAGCAAGUGAUUUCUUUCCUUUUUAUUUUGGUUUUCUUUUCAUGCAAGUGAAAAUAAAAAAGUAAGAAAAGCGAAAAAAAUGUAAACCUUUGGACUGAUUUUUGCUCUCUUGGAUAUUGAACUAACUGUGUUUUGCUGCGAAAAUAAUUGUGUAUUCUUAUUGAUUUCGAAAUCCGAAUCCCUAUUACAGUAUGUGCAAUGGCUUUUUAUAGCCAUAUUAAAAUAAAAUAUAAAGAAAUAAAUCUCAUUUGAUCUCUUCUUGAUUUGCAAUCCUUGAUUUUUUCUAUAUACUGUUUGUUUCCAUUUUUGUGCAGGUGAAGAUUGCGGAGAUUCGGAAGACCGGCUGAGUGGCUGCGGUGCGAGGCUCCCUCAGAAACCCUAGAGUUUUUGAAAUUGCUUUGGGCAUGGGUCUAGCUUUGGGCCUCUGUUUGUUUCAGUUUGGGCCACAUAGGCCGAUUGUAAAUUGGGCCCUUUAAAGCCCAGGCAAAAUCUGUUAUUACAAUUAUCUAUAAAAAAAUCUUAAAUUCUGGUAUAACUUAAUUUCCUGCCAUAAAUGGAAUAAUGACACCUUU
RNAcentral lists this long non-coding RNA (853 nucleotides) under Gossypium barbadense (sea-island cotton). Its description in RNAcentral is "long non-coding RNA (GBAR_LNC017047)". Lineage: Eukaryota; Viridiplantae; Streptophyta; Magnoliopsida; Malvales; Malvaceae. The record is from RNAcentral.